This 972-nucleotide ribosomal RNA is filed under the name uncultured Verrucomicrobiota bacterium. Its description in RNAcentral is "bacterial SSU rRNA". It matches the Rfam family "Bacterial small subunit ribosomal RNA", at positions 521 to 1482 of the family's 1533-position model. Lineage: Bacteria; Pseudomonadati; Verrucomicrobiota. The record is from RNAcentral.
UAAUAUAGAGGUCCCAAGCGUUGUUCGGAUUCACUGGGCGUAAAGGGUGCGUAGGUGGUCGGGUAAGUCUGAUGUGAAAUCUCUGAGCUCAACUCAGAAACUGCAUUGGAUACUAUCUGGCUAGAGGAGUGGAGGGGGGACUGGAAUACUUGGUGUAGCAGUGAAAUGCGUAGAUAUCAAGUGGAACACCAGUGGCGAAGGCGAGUCCCUGGACACUUCCUGACACUGAGGCACGAAAGCUAGGGGAGCAAACAGGAUUAGAUACCCUGGUAGUCCUAGCUGUAAACGGUGCGCAUUUGCUGUAAAAGGAAUCGACCCCUUUUGUGGCGAAGCUAACGCGUUAAAUGCGCCGCCUGGGAAGUACGGUCGCAAGAUUAAAACUCAAAGAAAUUGACGGGGGCCUGCACAAGCGGUGGAGUAUGUGGCUUAAUUCGAUGCAACGCGAAGAACCUUACCUGGCCUUGACAUGCAAGUAGUAGAACCCUGAAAGGGGGACGAGGUAGCAAUACCAGCUUACACAGGUGCUGCAUGGCUGUCGUCAGCUCGUGUCGUGAGAUGUUGGGUUAAGUCCCGCAACGAGCGCAACCCCUGUGUCCUGUUGCCACCCGAUCGAGAGAUUGGAGCACUCUGGACAGACUGCCUCGCUUAAACGAGGAGGAAGGUGGGGAUGACGUCAAGUCAGUAUGGCCCUUACGGCCAGGGCUGCACACGUACUACAAUGCCCGGCACAAAGGGAAGCAAGACCGCGAGGUGGAGCAAAUCCCCAAAAACCGGGCCCAGUUCAGAUUGUAGGCUGCAACUCGCCUACAUGAAGCUGGAAUCGCUAGUAAUGGCGCAUCAGCUACGGCGCCGUGAAUACGUUCCCAGGCCUUGUACACACCGCCCGUCACAUCAUGAAAGCCGUUUGUACCCGAAGUCGUCGUGCCAACCGCAAGGAAGCAGAUGCCGAAGGUAUGGAUGGUGAUUGGGAUG